Molecule: ribosomal RNA, 450 nt
Filed under: uncultured bacterium
Lineage: Bacteria
Description: bacterial SSU rRNA
Rfam family: Bacterial small subunit ribosomal RNA
Source: RNAcentral
UGGGGAAUAUUGCGCAAUGGGCGAAAGCCUGACGCAGCGACGCCGCGUGGGUGAUGAAGGCCUUCGGGUCGUAAAGCCCUGUCGGGAGGGACGAAAUCUUGCCGACCUAAUACGUCGGUGACUUGACGGUACCUCCAAAGGAAGCACCGGCUAACUCCGUGCCAGCAGCCGCGGUAAUACGGAGGGUGCAAGCGUUGUUCGGAAUCACUGGGCGUAAAGCGCGUGUAGGCGGCCUCUUAAGUCCGAUGUGAAAGCCCGGGGCUCACCCCCGGAAGUGCAUUGGAUACUGAAAGGCUGGAGUACCGGAGAGGAGGGUGGAAUUCCUGGUGUAGCGGUGAAAUGCGUAGAUAUCAGGAGGAACACCUGUGGCGAAGGCGGCCCUCUGGACGGAUACUGACGCUGAGACGCGAAAGCGUGGGGAGCAAACAGGAUUAGAUACCCCCGUAGUCC